AAGUCGUAACAAGGUUUCCGUAGGUGAACCUGCGGAAGGAUCAUUACUAAAGUUUUGCUUUACGCAAAGUCUUUUUUAAAAAAAGAUCACACCUUGCUAAUCGUUUCAUGUCUCUGGUAGUUUAGCAGCUAUGCUGGCCAAGUGCCCAGUUUAGCGCGUCCUACUGCCUCCUUCUCGGGGCUUUAGGGGACUACCGCCGGGGAAACCUGGAUCUUUUAACACUUAAGCCUUUAUUUAAAUGACUGAAGUUUAUUAUUUUAUAAUGAAUUACAACUUUUGGCAACGGAUCUCUUGGCUCUC
This 300-nucleotide unclassified non-coding RNA is filed under the name fungal sp. Its description in RNAcentral is "partial internal transcribed spacer region". The stretch from base 1 to 46 matches the Rfam family "Eukaryotic small subunit ribosomal RNA", at positions 1786 to 1831 of the family's 1831-position model. Lineage: Eukaryota; Fungi. The record is from RNAcentral.